UCUGGAAACAGAGAACAUUCAUAGAGGGAAAUGAGACACAGACAACAUUCUCAAGAGCGAGAAUUAAGGAAGUAGGGAGUUUCAACAAGACAACAAACAAUGGUUCAACAAAUACCUCAGAAGGUUCUGAUGAGUUUUCAUGUAGUUCGGCCCAGCAGGCAAAACCUAAUAUGCAGAAAAAAGACCCCUUGACUAAUUAUUCUGUAGAAAUUCCAGGUUUGUCCCAUUGGAAUGAAGAUAUGAUGGCAGACAAUGGGAGACAACAAACCCAGAGAUGGAGACGCCAUACAAAAGCCAGGAGGAGAGGAUAUGCUUGAUUGUUCUGUAUCACAACAUGCACAGCUGCAUCCACAGCAUGUCAUGGCCCUUUAAAUUAAUGUACCAUUCAACAAACAGAGAAACUCUGCUGGCGUGGGUCACAAGCAAGUUUAAGAUGUACGCCUGCUGGACACUAAGAAAUAAGCUGUUACUGAAGUCACUAAACUGCUACGGUGGAUUAAAAAGGAAGAAGAACGUCUCUUUAUCUGUUCCCUCCCAAAACACCCCACCCCACAACCAGGCAGGAGUUCUGCUGAAAGGGGCAGAUCAUACAGACAGGAAGCAUCAGACUGUGGCUUUCUAUCUCUCUUAUAGCCUCCUGCAACCAUAACCUCAUAAAGUUACUUUUCAACAAAGCAGUUAAUGUUUAAGUUCUGUGUUUUAUGGUUUUGGACUUUAUAGUGUACGUGUCAAUAUUUGAAAAUAUGUAAACCCUCCUGCAUUUGUGUCAGAGGGAUUAUGGAGCAGACAUGUAAAUUCUGGUUUUUUUUUUUGUUUAUUAUUAUUUUGUAUUAUUGUUUGGGAGAUGCAUAUGACAGCAGCGAACGUAUUUUCCUUUUUUGUGUGCUUGCAUCCCACCUGUUUAGGUAACUGUCACAAGUCCAAUAUAUUUACUGUAUGUACAAACAAGUAUACUGUACAGUAGGGGAGACCGGGGCUAGCUGUCACACAGAGAAGUUGUCACUAUUCAAUCGACUAGUCAACUAUAACUAACGUAGCCGGAAGUCGAACUAGUCGCUCACUGGGGCUAGUUGUCACACAGGGAAGAUGUCACUAUUCAGCAGUGUGACAACAUGCCCCAGCAUGUCACACAAGGUCAACAUAUAUUCAAUGAACUGUAUCUUUUUUACUGGGCAAUAAUGGUGGGUAUGUUUGUUUGAUUAGUGCACAUGUGAAAUAUCUUCAAAAAUAAUGCCAUAAAUAGUUUUAAUUUAUCUCUUUAAUUUAAUUUUUAAUUUUACCCCAACUCUGUGGGGGUCAUACCAUCUGUUGUAGGGCACCUUGUUCUUCUUCUACUCAAUUCUAUUUGCAAAGGGAAUGUUGAAAUGUAAAACUGUUAUUUCCUACUGAUACACUAAAAGCAGGAUAUGUAAAAUAAUCGUUUUAAGACAAAUGUUUUGCAAAAAAUAUAAUGCGCCUAAGACUUUUGCACAGUACUGUAUAUAUAUUUGUGGUUAGGUUGAUAAUAAUUAUU
Molecule: long non-coding RNA, 1513 nt
Organism: Myxocyprinus asiaticus (Chinese sucker)
Lineage: Eukaryota; Metazoa; Chordata; Actinopteri; Cypriniformes; Catostomidae
Exons: 3
Source: RefSeq, a predicted model, not a curated record